This 160-nucleotide ribosomal RNA is filed under the name uncultured bacterium. RNAcentral describes it as "partial 16S ribosomal RNA". It matches the Rfam family "Bacterial small subunit ribosomal RNA", at positions 373 to 526 of the family's 1533-position model. The record is from RNAcentral.
UGAAGGCAGCCUGAUGCAGCCUGCCGCGUGUAUGAAGAAGGCCUUCGGGUUGUAAAGUACUUUCAGUAUAGAGGAAGGCGAUAAGGUUAAUAACCUUGUCGAUUGACAUUACCCGCAGAAGAAGCACCGGCUAACUCCGUGCCAGCAGCCGCGGUAAUAG